ACUAAAUCCUCUACGUGGUCGUUCAAAUUGCUACGAACGAAAAUUCUAUACUCCUUCAAAUUACAACCUGCAGUCUUGGAAACAAGAUGCACUGAACAAUAUAUACGAAAGACGGGAUAGGCAUGAACGGAACGCUUCAGAUCAUAACCUUAUCGACUCUUAUUAGAGCUAAACGAAAACAAAAAAAGGAUAACGAUUUAAUGAAGGGCUGGAAAAUUUAUUUAGAAAAAGAUUUAACAAGUGACAUUACUAUAAACCGUCUGCAAGUCUUUAUCAUAAAUUACGUGUAGCAACAGAAUUGAUUAUUUCGUACAUUGGCACAAAGGAUCGGAUACAUAGGAAUCGGUCAUUAUUAAGAAGUUUGCAGACUUUAAACCGAUUCGCCUUCGAUUACAGGUGGGACACGAUCGGACGUGUAAAUUGAAUGAACAUAACUGCGGCAGAUGAGAAAGCAGAGAAAGGCGGGUUUUCAGCGCAUUUCUGCUGCUAGCUUACAUAAUAACAUUCAUAUGACUCGAUGGAAUGAUGUAAUUAAAAGCAAAACAUGAAACAUUAAUGUCUGUGUGUAUUCCUUACCUGAUUCCGCAGCAACGGACAACACACAUGUUGAAGCACUUUCCUCGUGGCCGCCAUUUUAAAGAUCUCACAUGUCACAACAGAGAGAGAGAGAGACAAGACAUAGAGAAAGACAGAGGGACAAAGAGAUAGAGGGAUAAAGAGAUAGAGUUAGAGAGGAGAUAAGUGGUAGAGAGGCAGCGAGAGAAGGGGUGAGUGAUAAAGUAAUAGUAAGAGAGAGAGAUGAGUGAUAGCGAUGAAAGACAGAGACGUCAGUGUGAAAGAAAGAGGGACAGAAAUAUGUAGGAGUGAUAGGAGAGAGGUAGAUAAGUGACAAAAGGGAGAAAGAAAUAUAUAUGAGUGGAUGAGAGGAAAAGAGGAAUGAGUGAGGGCGGUGAAAAUAAGGGAGAAUUGGAGAUAAGGAGUGAGGUAAAGAGGGGAUUAAUUGUAGGGGAUUAGGUGGAGCAGGAUAUAAAAAGGAUACUGUUUAUAAAGAGAGAAAGUGAAAGGGUAAGUGAUUAGAUGAGAGGGGGAGAGGCGAGAUUGAUAGGGAAUGAUUGAACCAGUGAAGGAGAGGGAAAGGAUUUGAAUGGGAGAGAGAGAGAAGGAAUAAAUGUGUGAGUGAAUGAGAGGGAAAGUCAUUAAAAGAAAGAAGGGUAGAGAAAGAGAAGAAUGAAUGAGUGAGUGAGAGAGAGAGAAAGGAAGGGUUAGAAGGUUAAGAACAGACAAUCUAGAGACAAAUGAAUGAAAGAGAGAGAGAAAACGGGAAAGAAAGUGAAAAAUCAUCAUUAUUGAGUUGGAUGAGAUGUAUUAAGCAGAGAGAGAGAGAGAGAGAGAAAUGGUGAUGAGAAAGAGAGGAAGGAAAGGCUACAGUUUGAUUUUUAACAAAAAGGCCGGUAAAAUGUAAACAAUGAAAAUACUAAAGAUGAGAAGAUACACACGUGGUGGGAGAAAAGAUGAAAUAAGAUGGGAGAUGAAAGCAACACAAUGGAGAGAAUUAACCUAGCGAGUUUAUGGUUCCAACACAUUUGAUCAACUCAGAACGACCAUUGUUGGUGACAGCUCCCCAUAUCAUUACAGAGAUAUGCCAUGUUUCACAAUUGAUUGGAGUCAAUUCAAAUAAAAUUCUUGAUAGGGAAGCCUCCAGACCCAAACACGUCCACUGUCUGAAAAUAAAGCAAAUCUGGAUUCAUCUGAGAAAAUCAUUCUAUACCAAAAUGAACUGUUUUUUUCUGACAUCUCCUUAGCCCAUUUCUUUCUUUUCAUGAUAUUAAUUGGCUGAAGGAGAGGUUUUCUUCUAGCUGCUCGUCCAUAAUACCCAAGCUUAUGCAGAUAUAUAACACACAUUC
Molecule: long non-coding RNA, 1904 nt
Organism: Octopus sinensis (East Asian common octopus)
Lineage: Eukaryota; Metazoa; Mollusca; Cephalopoda; Octopoda; Octopodidae
Exons: 3
Source: RefSeq, a predicted model, not a curated record